RNAcentral lists this ribosomal RNA (492 nucleotides) under uncultured bacterium. Its description in RNAcentral is "partial 16S ribosomal RNA". It matches the Rfam family "Bacterial small subunit ribosomal RNA", at positions 29 to 507 of the family's 1533-position model. The record is from RNAcentral.
AGUGAACGCUGGCGGUAGGCCUAACACAUGCAAGUCGAACGGCAGCACAGUAAGAGCUUGCUCUUAUGGCUGGCGAGUGGCGGACGGGUGAGGAAUCCAACGGACUCUACUUUUUCGUGGGGGAUAACGUAGGGAAACUUACGCUAAUACCGCAUACUACCUACGGGUGAAAGCAGGGGAUCUUCGGACCUUGCGCGAUUGAAUGAGCCGAUGUCGGAUUAGCUAGUUGGCGGGGGAAAGGCCCACCAAGGCGACGAUCCGUAGCGGGUCUGUGAGGAUGAUCAGCCCCACUGGAACGGAGACACGGUCCAGACUCCUGUGGGAGGCAGCAGUGGGGAAUAGGGGACAAUGGGCGCAAGUCUGAUACAGCCAUAGCGAGUGGGUGAAUAAGGCCUUCGGGUGGUAAAGCCCUUUUGUUGGGAAAGAAACGCACUAGGCUAAUACCCCGCUGUGCUGACGGUACCCAAAGAAUAAGCACCGGCUAACUUCGUG